Molecule: long non-coding RNA, 4636 nt
Organism: Gorilla gorilla gorilla (western lowland gorilla)
Lineage: Eukaryota; Metazoa; Chordata; Mammalia; Primates; Hominidae
Exons: 3
Source: RefSeq, a predicted model, not a curated record
GGUUAACGAGGAGGUUCCCUCCUUCCAGCGUGGAUGAGCCUUUCCGUGAGGGUGACCGGAAAGGCGCCUGGGCUGGUGACGGUGUCAAGUGUAGGCAAGAAAUACGGCUGAUCAAGAAGCGACUUGACCUCCCUCGCACAAGACUGAGUCCCUUUGCGGCAGGGGCCUUCCCCGCCGCGAACCCUACUUGGAACCUUGCGCCAUGCGAUGUCUCUCUAAUUCUAGGCCACGGAAGCCCUGGGUCACCCUUUCAGCCUGGUUCUCUCCGGUGGUGCUGGCGUGUUUCUCCUGUCUGUUGGGGUCAGCUGCGUCCAACCUCGGCUCCUGCAGGAUUGCCCGGGCAACCCAGAGGAGAUGGGUGGGCGUGGAGGUCCUCCCUGGAUGACCCUUCCCACCAUUUCAACAUCAUUAGGAAUUUAACAGGCUUUUGCAAGAAGGCCCGGGUACGCAUCCCCCCAUUUAUAGUAGGAUUUCCAGGACAAAAUGUAUUCCACUCUCUAAACAACAAGCAACACGUAUACAACCCAUUCAUAAGAGCUCCUUUGCUGUCAAGGAGUUGCUGCAAAACAGUAUGCGGAAAAUGGAACAGUGAGGAGGGGUGUAGCUGAAACGAGACUGGCCAUGAGUUGUCUCCCUGCUUCCUGGCCUUUCUAUUUAAAAGCACCCAUCUUCACCUUCUCCCAAAGUCUCUGGAAGUUUUACAGACAGCAUCUUUCUAGCCUCGCCCUGCGUCUCUUUCUAGUCAUUUGACUGAGGCUGAACAAAGCCCAGAUGGGAGUUUCAUUCCCUUCACCUCCCCCAACUCCCAGCGGAGGGAGGCUGGCCCCAGACACAGGACACAGCUUCCUGACCCUGCAGGCAGGAGCCUGGCUUGUUGGUGAGUGGGCCUCCUCAUUGCUGCUGGAGUUUUCCAUCCUCAUUCCACAACAAGCCAAGUCAGCAAGUUGCUGCCAGGAACCUUCACACCUUGUGCUUUGGGAUCUGAGGGGAAACACACACACACCAGCACCACCCUCCCUGAGCCCGGGAAUGAAGCCAGCAUCAGCGGAGAGCAACCUACUGAGGAAAAUGAUGGAGUAAUUCCCUGGGCACACUUCAGGCAUGGUGCCAGGUAACAGGCCCUGCCAGGGGGUGACAGAGGUGGUACCAUGGCAUGUCUGGGGCCUGCCCCGAGACACCAGCUGGCAGCAGCCACACUCUGUCCUUAGCAGCACUCGCAGCAGUCCAACACUUUGGUUGUCACGCAAGACACGCUGUUUCUGACAGGAGGCCGCAGCCGGGUAACACGGGCAGAUGCAGAGGGCACUGUCCUGCGGCGCUUUUUUGAAAGCACGCCAUUUUUCUUCCCUACCCAAUUAACUUUCCAGAGACCCAUCCCGAAGGACUGGAUUCAUCACUAGAACCAACAAGAUGAGGAUUUGUAGAGCCGGCUGCCGCGCCGCCGAGGCUCCUAGUGGGUUAUCUGCGUGGCUUGCCUGACCUCAGCAGAAAUCCACAGCGCAGGGCCCAGAGCUGUGUGAGCACCUGCAAUUGAAGAAUUCACAAUUACAAGUCGUGUGUCUAAAUUGGCAGACUUUCAAGAAAGUCCCACCAAUCUUCAAGCAUACAGCCACCAAGGGCCACGUAAAAUGUUUGUGGCUUUAAUAUACAGUUUCAUUUGCUUGAAUAUCAUCAGCUUGGGUGCAGAUAAUCAAAGAAUGGCUCAGGAUGGAGAAUUUAAUACGAGAAUUCGGCCAGGGCUGCCAAGCCAUAUAUGUGCUAAUGUUGCAAUUUCAACCUUGGACUUAAGGUCAAGAUUAAUUUAGUGAAAAAUAUUAUUUCACGAUGUAACAGACACCUUCUGAGUUGGAGAGCCGAGGAAUUCCGGAGGAUGGAUGAGGCAUGGGUGUGUCUAGAGACCUCAUGGCAAAAGUGGCUGCAUUGCCCCCCUCAAAUGUUAGUUAAUAUUUGGGCACAUUUGAGAGAUAACAACAUAGGCAGAUUUUUCUUUAACUUUUUAUUAUGGAAAAUCAACCAUACGCUAUAUUAGAAAGAACAGUAUAGGAAGUGGAAAACUUUUUCUUUACAGGGCCAGAUAGUAAAUAAUUUUGGUUUCCCAGGCCAUAUGUUCUCCGCCUCAACUAUACAGCUCUAUUGUCACACAAAAGCAGCUAUCGAUAGUGUAUAAAUGAAUGAAUAGUGAUGUCUUCUAAUAAAACUUUAUUUGUGGAUGCUGACAUUUGAAUUUCACAAAAUUUUUACAUGUUAUUAAUAGUCUUCUUUUUUCCUAACGUUUGUACCAUUUAAACAUAUAAAAAUCUUUCUUAGUUCCCAACCCUUGCAAAAACAGCUGGUGGGCUAGAGUUGGCCCGCAGGUCACAGUCUGCCCAGCCCGGAAGUACAUAGAAGGACCCCCAUCCCCAACACCAGGUUUCAACAAAAGUCAGCUCAUGGCCAAUCUUGUUUCAUCUAUUCUCCUAUCCUUUUUUCCUCUCCUUGGAUUCUUUGAGGCAAAUCCUCAUCAACAAAUUAUUUCAUCCAUAUUCAUAUUUCAGUACUUAUCUCUAAAAGAGGAUUCAAAUUUUAAACAAAAAAGUACAAUAUCAUGAUCACAUCUAAAAAUUUUAACAAUUCCAUAAUAUCAUCAAAUAUCCAAUCAAUAUUCAGUUUUUCCAAUUGUCUUAUAAAUGUUUAUUAUUAUAUAUUUUAGAUUUUUCCCCCAUUCAAUUUAUUUGUUUGAAUCAAGAUCUAAAUAAGAUCAAUAUGUUGCAAAUAUAUUGCAAUUGCUUGAUAGAUCUCUUAAGUCUUUGUUGUUGUUGCUGUUGUUGAGACAAGGUCUCACUCUGUCCCCAAGGCUGUAAUACAGGGGGCCAGAUCAUGGCUCACUACAGCCUGACCUCCUUGGGCUCAGAUGAUCCUCCCACCUCAACCUCCCAUGUAGCCUGGAUUACAGGUGUGCACCACCAUGCUUGGCUAAUUUUUAUAUUUUUUUGUAGAGAUGGGAUUUCACCGUGUUGCUCAGGCUGGUCUUGAACUCCUAGGCUCAAGUGAUUGGACCUCCUCGGUCUCCCAAACCACUGGGAUUACAGGCAUGCAUCACCAUGCCCAGCUUCCUAAGUCUCUUUUAAUCUGUGAGUUUCCUUUCCCACCCGCACCUCUUUUGUACACAUUAUUUGUUGAAGAAAUUGUGUGGUUUGUUCUGUAGGAUUUCCUGGAGUCUGGGUUUUGCUGAUUGCAUCUCUGUGCUGUUAUUGGAUGUGUUGCUUUGUCCUCUGUAUUUUCUACAAUACAACAGUAUUUUCUGCCAAAUGGAAGUUAGAGCUAAAUGUUUGAUGGCAUUCGGGUCUUAUUGUUGUCUUGUUUUUAGGUAAGAUUACUUUACAGGUGGAACUGUGUUCUCCCAUCAGAAAGCACACAUGUGGUUGCUUCUCUUUUUCUGAUGCUAGCAGCCAUUGAUAAUUAUGGCCUAGAUUCAUUACUUAAAAAAUUAAUAGACUUCAUUUUUAAAUCAGUUUUGAAUUUAUAAAAAAGUGAGCAGAUAGUACAGAGUUCCAAUAUACUCCCUUUCAUACACAGUUUCAUCUAUAGUUAACAUUUUGCAUUAGUGUGAUAUAUUUGUUGCAGUUGAUGAACCAAUGUUGAUCCAUUCCUAUUAACUAAAGUCCAUUGUUUACAUUAGGGCUUACUGUUUUAUACGGUUCUACAGUUCACAAAUGCGUAGUGACAUGUUUCUACCAUGAAAGUAUCACACGGGAAUAGUUUCACUGCCCUAAGAAUCUCCUGUGCUCCACCCGUUCAUCCAUCCUUGCACCUAAACCCCUGGCAACCACUGGGCUUUUUACUAUACCUAUAGUUUAGCCUUUUGCAGAACAUCAUAUGGUUGGAAUCAUACUGUAAGCAGUCUUUUCAGAUUUAUUUCUUUCACUUAGCAAUGUGCAUUUACGAUUCCUCCAUGUCCUUUUGUAGCUUGACAGCCCACAGUUCUUUUCAGCACUGAAAAAUGUUUCAUUGUAUGGAUGUGCCACAGUUUGUUCCUCAGUUCACUGAGUGAAGAACAUCUCGGUUAGUUCCAGUUUUCGGCAACUAUGAAUAAAACCUCUAUAAACAUUUAUAUGCAGAUUUCUAUGUGGACAUAACUUUUCAGCUUAAAUAGGUAAAUAUUAAGGAGCAUCAUUGUUGGAUUGUUUGGUUAGAAUAUGUUUAGCUUUUUAGAAACUACCAAACUAUUUUUCAAAGUGGCUGUACCAUUUUGCAUUCCUACCAGCAAUGAAUAAGAAUUCCUUCUAUCCCACAUCCUUGACAACAUUUGGUAUUACCAGUUUUUUGGGAUUUGGGCCAUUCUGAUAGAUGUAUAAUGAUGUGCCAUUGUUGUUUUAAUUUGUAUUUACUUCACGACUUAAGAUAUCAAUGGAAUGUCUUUUUUAUAUGCUUAUUUGCUAUCUAAGUGUUUUCUUUAGUGAGGUUUCUGUUCAGAUGAAAUUGAAUUUUUUUCAUUGUUGAGUCCUAAAACUUCUUUGUAUAUUUUAGAUAUAAGCCCUUUGUUAAAUAUGCACUUGACAAUAUUUUCUCCCAGUCUGUGGCUUUGUCUGUUCAUUCUCUUAAUAGUGCAUUUUACAGAGCAGAAGUUUUUAAUUUUAAUAAAGUCCACCUUCCCAAA